GGCGUGAGCAGCAUUGUCUAUCAUCGUUUUGCUGUCAGUCAGUAGCUUUACAAAGACAGUCGCAGGAGACUUUGUUUCUUGAAUUUAACAGGGGAAACAACUGAACUUUAAAAACUAACAUAAGAUUUUUGUUUCGCGAAAUUAAAAAAAAAAUUUUCAUGUGCUUAGUGGGAAAUAGAAAAGUUUGAAAUUCGACAAUUUCUCAUAUAAAAAAUUGUAGCGCUGACCGUUAUCUUUGAGUUUUUGUUGUUUCCAACCCUCGAAUUGAGUCCAAAACGUCAUGUACACGCUCACAAUAUGUUUCAUUUUCUUAGCAUGUGUUCUAUUUGAUGUACAUUCAUUCCACGAGUCCGAAGGCAAGGUAGAUAAAUCCAAAUUGCAACUUGUGUUGGAGCAUUUGUCAACCGUCUACCUCCCAUAUGACGUGACCACCAGCGAGCCGCUCUACAAGCUCAAGUCUGCAAGUGUUGAGCAGAUGGCGAUACACGAAGAAGACAAGACUAUGUAUGUCGUCGGAAAAGGUCUUUUUCAUGUGGUCAACAUCAGUGAUCCUACUAAUCUUGUCUAUAUUACAACAGUACCAGUACUGGACAGUGAUCUCACAGACGUGGAGGUCUGUGGAAACUACAUCUUUAUUACGUCCGACAACAUGAAGGAUAAAGCUAAUGGUCAACUCCUUAUUUACAGCAGAUAUACAACUACUCCUGGUUUCUCUUUACGACAGAUAAACGCUAUCACUGUUGGCGCCCAACCUGACAUGCUGCAGUUAACCAAGGAUUGCCAAACGGCUGUAAUUGCAGUUGAAGGCGAGCCUGUUGAGACCGGUGAGGAUUUUACUGAUUAUCCUGGUGCCAUUGCAAUUGUCAGGUUUGAGGGAGGCAGACCAGCCGACUCGAUACCACCAGAGGUUAAAAUUUUGGACUUCAAAAAAUUUGAGACAAGUUACGACGACUUACUGGCCCGAAAUGUGAAAAUGUCGUACAGCAGGACAAGAAAAGGAUUCAGCGAUGAGUUCGAACCAGAAUACAUAACUAUAGAUGAGGAAAGCAGAAAAGCUUAUGUGGUCUUGCAGGAGAACAACGCAGUGGUUGAGGUGGAUUUGAACACAUACGAGAUUACGCAAAUCUACGGCCUAGGCUACAAGCAGUGGGGACACCUGGACGCUAGUAAAUCCGAUGGAGGAAUCAGCAUCAGCUAUUGGCCGAUCCGGUCUUUUUACCAGCCGGACGCCAUCAAGUUUUACGUUUGGCAACAACGCAAACUGGCUUUCACUGCGAAUGAGGGUGAAUACAGAGUCUACCCAAACGAUGGAUUUGACGAGAGGCGAAUAGGAGUGUCAUUUAAAGGUUCUAAGUUCGGACCGAAUGUUCCCUUGUUUGUGGUGGACGCACUGAAUGAUUCCAGAAAACUAGGAGACUUGACUUUUUCUAAAGGGGACGGCUUCAUUGACGGAACUUAUGAGGCUCUCUACAUGUUUGGAGGACGCAGUUUCAGCAUCUGGGAUACGGAGAACAAUUUCGAGCUGUUGUAUGACAGUGGCAGUGACUUCGAAGAGAAGAUAGCAGUAUACUGUCCGCAUGUGUUCAACUCUAACGGUGAUGUCAUCGACACUGUGUCAGACCAGAUGGGUGUCCAGCCAGAGGGCCUAGCCACACUAGAGAUGGACUCUCGCCUCUUUAUCUUCAUCACCAUCGAGAACCCUGGCAUGCUGCUCGUGUACAGCUUGGACGCUGACGUCACAAGUCCGAGAUUCGAGACCAUCUUCUGCGAUGGAAUACCAAAAGAUUCACGAUCUUUGACCGCCAAGUAUAUGGCUCGGGAACUGUAUAUGGUCCACCCUGAGGAUAUUAGGAUCUUAGGUGAAGGCAACACCAUUUCAAAGUCGCCGCUUGUUUUCGUCACUGGCUCUGUCUCCGGCACCGUCUCAGUCCUCAAAGUUGGCUUAGUUGAAAAUGCUAUAAAAUUUGAUGAGAGCAGAAAUCAUUCAUCUGGUGAUACUAAUCAGACAGUUUCUUAACAUUCGCGGACCAUUGGUUGGCAUCAAGGACGAAACAGCGAAGUAGACUAAUCAAUGGGAUAAAUUAUAGUCAAGAACAUCUUAAAAUCGUUGUCCUCAAACAUAGUAGGAUGUACGAGGUACAGCUUUUUCGUCACUUUCCCUCAGUUUAGCCAUUUGGUGCAAGGUUAUAUUUUGUUGGCUGUUCUAAUGCUUGAUAAUUGUUAUAACUUUGCAACUCAUUUUGUUUUGUCUGUCUGGAGGUCUUCAGGGGUCUAAUGUCAAAUGCUUAAAGUGAACCAGUGUGCCGCUGUUUAUAUUGGCAGCGUAAGAGUUUGUUGUCUGAGUGAAAAAGUUGUUAAUACUUUUUUUUAUAUAUUUAUGCAUAAAAAAUAAAAUCCAACUUUAAAUUUGAGAUGAUUUCAUAUUCUGUACAUGACUCAUCAAUGUAAUACUUCACAAUAUUCAUCACAUACAGUUUAUUUUAUGUGCCUCCUAAUUGUAUAUUUCAUAAAUGCUUAAAUGUGAAAUCUAUAAAUAAAUGGUUCUUGCAGUCGAUAAACUUCACAAGUGUAUGCAUGAAAUUCAUAGCUUAAUUAUAAUUUUUAAAUGCUUUGUAAUGCACUUUCAUAAUUAUAUAUAGGCAUGUGCGUAUGUCUUUUCUUUGCUGGUUAUUAUGUAUGUAUAUUUGUAUGAAUCCAUAUAGUGUAGAGUAUUAAAUUGAACUAAUACUAGAUCUAUGUACUACAAAUAGGUUUGUACUUAUUACAAAGCUUACAUUAACUCACUA
Biomphalaria glabrata is the source of this 2786-nucleotide RNA transcript. It is a transcript of the gene named mesenchyme-specific cell surface glycoprotein-like, with no coding region annotated. The record is from RefSeq and is a predicted model, not a curated record. Lineage: Eukaryota; Metazoa; Mollusca; Gastropoda; Planorbidae. The transcript is spliced from 16 exons.